Long non-coding RNA from Rhopalosiphum maidis (corn leaf aphid), 356 nucleotides. RefSeq lists it as uncharacterized. The transcript is spliced from 4 exons. Lineage: Eukaryota; Metazoa; Arthropoda; Insecta; Hemiptera; Aphididae. The record is from RefSeq and is a predicted model, not a curated record.
ACCAUUCUGAAAAUGGAAUAGAAGAUAUUGAUAAUAAUACUGGUGUUUUUCAAUAUGACUGUACAAGAGAUCACACAAGGCAUGCUGGGAUAAGAAUAGAAAUUUAUACUACUAUGGAAUAUUUCAACAUACCAUUCUGAAAAUGGAAUAGAAGAUAUUGAUAAUAAUACUGGUGUUUUUCAAUAUGACUGUACAAGAGAUCACACAAGGCAUGCUGGGAUAAGAAUAGAAAUUUAUACUACUAUGGAAUAUUUCAACAUACCAUUCUGAAAAUGGAAUAGAAGAUAUUGAUAAUAAUACUGGUGUUUUUCAAUAUUACUGUACAAGAGAUCACACAAGGCAUGCUGAGAUAAGAA